AUUCUUAGUUGUUCACAAUCUAACACUCAUUUACAAUGAGGGGACUGGUAACAGCAGCAGGGCCCCUUCUACCCUCAGAGCGGACGUCCUUCCAAUACCGCUCACAGGCCUGACAGACUCCACCAGGAGGUGGCGGUGUUCCUAUUUUGCUCACUGACCUAUCCCAUAUUAUCAGAACAGCAGCUGGCACACCAGCACUCAGGGCUGCAAAGAAAAUGGGUGGGGGAAGCCCUAAGCUCCCACUGGGGGCCACACUUGGAGAUCAAGAGGUCCACUGCGGAGAGAGGUGAUUUUUAUGCACUUGCAAAUUUAACAGCUGGACUCUGACCUUCACAGAAAUGGAACCACAGCGGAUGUAUUCUUCUGCAAUUUGCUUUUCCAACCACCAAGAUCCAUCCGUGUUCACACGUGUAGCUGCAGCUCAGUCUGACUUCCGUGCAAUUCCACUGUAGGAAUGGGCCAUGGAAUCUAUCCAGUGGACUGCUCAAGGACAGGCAGGGUCUUUCCAGUUUGUUUUUGUUUCCCUUUUCUUCCUAUUACAAACAGUGCUGUUAUGACAUUUUCACAUCCACGUCCUGACACACACGUGUAAGAGUUUCGCUAGGGUAUGUAUCUAGGAGCGGAAUAGCCACAGAGAGGUUAGGGCACAGUCACUUAAGCCAAACUACUUCCCAAAGCUGUUGUUCCUAAAAGUUCUUCUAUCUGUUGCUGUUGACAACUGAGCUACUUGGGAGGGCUGAGAAGAAACAGAUCAACUAUGACUCUCAAACUGCAUUUUCAAAGUAGGAAAUUUAAAAAUCUGAUACAACAAUGAAUAACACAUUGACUUCUCUGCUUUGGUUUACUUGAAAUGUAUUUUUAAAAACUACAUGUUAAAACUUAAAAGGGCGGUCUCCUAAAUCUCAAAUGUUUCUAAAUAUACGGAGUGAAAACAGCAAGAUUCAGAACAUAUGGUGUACUUCAUAUAUAAAAAAAGGUCUAUACAUAUAUGCUUAUAUCCCCCACCACCCACCUCCCUCCAGAAAGAAUAACUGUUAACAGUAGCUCCUGGAGAGGAAGAACAGAGGGACAGGAAAGAGAGAGAGACCACUUAACUCUUCUGCUGUUUUUUGAACCACGUACAGGCAUUACAAUUAUAACAUAAAAUUCUUUAAAAGUAGUCACCUGGGGUUCUUUCAUAAACAACUAAAAAUCAGUCUGAACUCACACUUGAAAAUCAGCCGUGAACGAAGUCCCAUCCCACAGAAAAUAUACACAAUAUAUUCUCAAGUGUUUUCCUUGUUUCAUGCACUUUAGAGUAAUGUUUAAAAUU
Molecule: long non-coding RNA, 1312 nt
Organism: Lutra lutra (Eurasian river otter)
Lineage: Eukaryota; Metazoa; Chordata; Mammalia; Carnivora; Mustelidae
Exons: 3
Source: RefSeq, a predicted model, not a curated record